Molecule: ribosomal RNA, 497 nt
Filed under: uncultured bacterium
Lineage: Bacteria
Description: partial 16S ribosomal RNA
Rfam family: Bacterial small subunit ribosomal RNA
Source: RNAcentral
GAUGAACGCUGGCGGCGUGCCUAAUACAUGCAAGUCGAGCGAACAGACGAGGAGCUUUCUCCUCUGACGUUAGCGGCGGACGGGUGAGUAACACGUGGAUAACCUACCUAUAAGACUGGGAUAACUUCGGGAAACCGGAUCUAAUACCGGAUAAUAUAUUGAACCGCAUGGUUCAAUAGUGAAUGACGGUUUUGCUGUCACUUAUAGAUGGAUCCGCGCCGCAUUAGCUAGUUGGUAAGGUAACGGCUUACCAAGGCAACGAUGCGUAGCCGACCUGAGAGGGUGAUCGGCCACACUGGAACUGAGACACGGUCCAGACUCCUACGGGAGGCAGCAGUAGGGAAUCUUCCGCAAUGGGCGAAAGCCUGACGGAGCAACGCCGCGUGAGUGAUGAAGGUCUUCGGAUCGUAAAACUCUGUUAUUAGGGAAGAACAAAUGUGUAAGUAACUAUGCACGUCUUGACGGUACCUAAUCAGAAAGCCACGGCUAACUACGUG